CAGCCGCCGCGGUAAUGCGAAGGGUGCAAGCGUUACUCGGAAUUACUGGGCGUAAAGCGUGCGUAGGUGGUGGUUUAAGUCCGUCGUGAAAGCCCUGGGCUCAACCUGGGAAUUGCAGUGGAUACUGGGUCACUAGAGUGUGGUAGAGAAUAGUGGAAUUUCCGGUGUAGCAGUGAAAUGCGUAGAGAUCGGAAGGAACAUCUGUGGCGAAGGCGACUAUCUGGGCCAACACUGACACUGAGGCACGAAAGCGUGUGGAGCAAACAGGAUUAGAUACCCCCGUAGUCCCUGUCUCUUAUAC
RNAcentral lists this ribosomal RNA (301 nucleotides) under uncultured bacterium. Its description in RNAcentral is "partial 16S ribosomal RNA". It matches the Rfam family "Bacterial small subunit ribosomal RNA", at positions 509 to 807 of the family's 1533-position model. The record is from RNAcentral.